This 388-nucleotide ribosomal RNA is filed under the name uncultured archaeon. RNAcentral describes it as "bacterial SSU rRNA". It matches the Rfam family "Archaeal small subunit ribosomal RNA", at positions 338 to 730 of the family's 1478-position model. The record is from RNAcentral.
GGCGCGAAAACUUUGCAAUGCGGGAAACCGUGACAAGGGAACUCUGAGUGCCCGUUAAAUCGGGCUGUCCAUCGGUUUAAAAAACCGGUGAAGAAAGGGCCGGGCAAGACCGGUGCCAGCCGCCGCGGUAAUACCGGCGGCUCGAGUGGUGGCCACUAUUACUGGGCUUAAAGCGUUCGUAGCUGGUUUGUUAAGUCUCUGGGGAAAUCUUCCGGCUUAACCGGAAGGCGUCUCAGGGAUACUGGCAGACUAGGGACCGGGAGAGGUGAGAGGUACUCCAGGGGUAGGAGUGAAAUCCUGUAAUCCUUGGGGGACCACCUGUGGCGAAGGCGUCUCACCAGAACGGCUCCGACAGUGAGGGACGAAAGCUGGGGGAGCAAACCGGAUU